AAAAGGCGCAAACGGUCCUGGGCAAGGUAAGGCGACACUCAUGGGAAUACCGUGCGUGAGGCCACAAAAUGAUAUGAGGUGUUACAUGCUAGAUCGGUGUGGCUUUGAGUCGGGGUCCUGACAAAUAUAGUGUACAAAUACAGAUUGACAACUACAAAAUUCAGAUCACCAUAACCGAUUACAAUUACAUAUCACAAUCAGACUAGACAGUUAGGUACAUAAAAUCUGUGUUGUUCCCUAUCUUAAGUGUAGUAUCAUCUGUUCCAUCCCAAGUGGAGUUACCCUUCUAAACUAAACUCAAGUGUAAUAUCUUUUGUUCUAGCUCAAUUACCUGCAAAAGCAUAGCAAUAAACGAAUUAUGAGAACUAUUAGCAUGAGGAAUAAAUUAUGGGAAAUAUUCAUCCAAACAUUUAGACAGGAACAAGGAACAAUAUACAACAUCACAUUUUUCAGUCAACAUGCCCAUUUUAGCAGCAAGCAAACAAGAAUUUUGGCAUGCAAAAAGAACACAUAUGCACGUCUUAGUAUCACAUAGAAAGAAACCAAAUAUGUUAUUAGCAGUGAGAUGGUUGCUCGAAUAUCUAUCCUAGCAGAUUGGAGCAUAAGUCAAUUGAAAUAUGUGGCUAGAACAAAUCUUUUGUGGGACAUUUGAAAGAAAUGUCCUAUUGAAACAAAGAACAUGAAAUGAUUAAACAUGUAGGAGUACAUUUCAGUCAACAUGUCUGUUUAUAUAUAUAUAUAUAUAUAUAUAUAUAUAUAUAUAUAUAUAUAUAUAUAAUAUUUUACUUAAACACUACAUAAAGUGAUUAAAGAUAUACUUUGAACCAUAAUCCAGUGCAAUAGUAUUCGCUACAAAAUGUUUUCCUUAAAAUGCCAACAACUAAAUGAACACACAGGUAAAAAGUAGUAUCAGGAGCAACUCUACUGACGAUGUAGUGAAAGGAAAAGACUUGGUUCAAAUAAACACAAAUAAUGGUCUAAAUGAUUUUGGUUCCCAGGUAAGUCAACUACCUCAUGGGCAGAGCCUAUUUACUUUUGGCUAAAAGUUGUUGAUUGGUUGCUUAAAUGAAUGUAACUCGAUCAUGUGCAUGGUAUGGGAAUUCCCAUGGGAAAUCUUGUGUUGUACAAUGCCCUUCAUCGUGCGAGUACAUCUGCUGUAAAUUAAAGUCCACCUCUAAGACUAAGAGGUGUCGCACACAUUCAGAAUCUCAAACUGAAUUUUGCACUAUGAGGUUGAUACUCUAUCAUUGUUUGUAGCUCUGAUAGAGAUGUGUUGCCAGUUGUGUAUGGAGUCACUGUAUAAAUAACACUCAUUACUUUUUAGACAAAUAAUUUAGUUUAUUCAUAGUUGGUGGCCUGGAUCGGAUUUAAUGCUUUCCUGUCCAGCUCACCGCAGACCAGAGCGCAGCCCCAAAUUUGCUUCCUCUAGCAAGUUUGUUAUUAAAAAGUACAUGCAACUUUAGUACAUGCCCAGGUUACACAUAAUAUUUUUGAUUUGUAAAAAAGGGCAAAUAUCCAAGCAAUAUCGAACAAUGUUGGACUAAGGAGUACAUGUUAAUAGAUGUGAAUCAUUUUGUUACAAGAACCUGACUACUGGUUCCUUUUAUUUUGUUACUUAAUUAGCUUGAUCAGCGGACAGAACACCUUCUUUUGUUACUUAAUUAGCUUGAUCAGCGGACAGAACACCUUCUUAUGAUUUCAUGAUCGUAGAAGCUUAAUACUUUAGCUAUCUAGAAAAAACACUAAAACUACUUGCGAAUCCAGUGUAUCUAUAUCAAGAUAUAGGUUAAUAGAUGUGAAAAUAAUAGAACCUGACUAUUGGUCCCUUGAUUAUUGUUACUUAAUUAGGUUGAGCAGCUGCAGGACACCUUUUGUUUCAUGAUUGCGGAAGCUUAAGUACUUGGUCUAUCUUCUAGAAAAAAACACUAAAACUACUUGCGAAUCCACUGCAUCUCUAUCAAGAUAAAUCAUUACUGCAUAUAUAUUAUGGGUCAGAUUUCAUGGGCUUCUAUCUACUGGCCAGUUCAGAAACGAAUUGUUCCAUAAAACAAAGUAGAAAUUGACACAUGAAACAUUUGAUGCUAAGCCAUCUUGGUGCAUAACACAAAACCAGGGGCUUCUUCUGGCCAAUACAUAGUUGGGUCAGAUUUCAGGGGCUUCUAUCUACUGGCCAAUUCAGAAACAAUGAACUGAACAAGAGCAAUCCGAAGUGGCAGCAAUCAGAAACGUAAACUGAAUCACAGGCUUCUAUCAACUGAUUAUGUUUAGGGGAUGCAUACCUCUGCUGAUGCACGUUCAGACGUCGGAUGUUGUUCCUCCGACGAACUCAGCGGAGGCGACAUUGUACGGCUUGACGGAUAUUCUUCUUCAGCCGGCGAACUCAGCAGAGCUCGAUGUUGAUUCUGUUCAAGGGAUGUAACCUGAUAGAGAUUCCGGUCGAGGCUCCUUCCUUCUUAUGGCAACCAAGUCUCUCCAUGGCUUUGUGUUGGAGAAGAACACGGAAUCUAACUUUGAUCCAAAUCCAACUUCGAUCCAAAUCAGAGAGCGUAGGUUGGGGAUUGAGGAGGCUACGGGUGGCGCCGGAGAAGAUUAAGGCCGGAUAGGGAGGGGAAGGAGAAAAGGGCGGCGGAUGGUGGCCGAAGAAGAAGACACUCCGCCGACGAUGGCGGCGCCAUUACGGAUCGAGGCGAGCACGCAUUAGAGAAGGAGCCCGUGCGUUUUCCCAAUUUGCCACUUUUAAAAUGGCAGCCGUCCUUGGUCCUGGGCAGUGGAUAGGCGACAACGUCCAUCUCGCCAACCUCAACCACCUUCGUCAUGACCACCGCGCCCAUGAUGACGAGCACAAGGCUGACCUUGACGCGGAUGCGGGAGCACUGCUACCACCGCGUGUUCCCAUCGCGGAUCUGAGAAGGCUGCAUAGGGGGAGAGGGUGGGGGCGGCGAAAGAGCGAUAGCGGGUGGGAGACGGAGGUGGAGUGGAAGAUGGUUGGGACAGCAGCGCAGUAGAUCGUGGGGAUGGCAACCCCGCAUGGAUGGAGUAGAGAGGGAGAGGAGGCGGCGGCUGUGGCUGGAGGUGGACUAGGGUUGGAUCUGAAUCGGGAGCAGAGAGGGAGAGGAAUCGGCAGCUGUGGGUGGAGAGGGAUUAGGGUUUCCGUGGUUGGGGAGAGGCGCGAGGCCGUGGCCUCUUGUACUGUGGGCCGUCGAGUUAAA
Molecule: long non-coding RNA, 3209 nt
Filed under: Triticum aestivum (bread wheat)
Lineage: Eukaryota; Viridiplantae; Streptophyta; Magnoliopsida; Poales; Poaceae
Description: long non-coding RNA (TAES_LNC012085)
Source: RNAcentral